This 2877-nucleotide ribosomal RNA is filed under the name Candidatus Phytoplasma citri. RNAcentral describes it as "Candidatus Phytoplasma aurantifolia 23S ribosomal RNA". It matches the Rfam family "Bacterial large subunit ribosomal RNA". The record is from RNAcentral. RNAcentral also lists the same sequence under 2 other names. Lineage: Bacteria; Bacillati; Mycoplasmatota; Mollicutes; Acholeplasmatales; Acholeplasmataceae.
UAAAGGAAAUAAGAGCGCACAGUGGAUGCCUAGGCACCAAGAGCUGAUGAAGGACGCAAUUAACGGCGAUACGCUACGGGGAGCUGUAAAUAAGUGUAGAUCCGUGGAUUUCCGAAUGGGGCAACCUACUAUAAGAAGUUAUAGUAUCAAUUGUUAGGCAACUAACUGAUUGAAAGGAACGCAGUGAACUGAAAUAUCUAAGUAACUGCAGGAACAGAAAGUAAUAACGAUUCCGGUAGUAGUGACGAGCGAAUCCGGAACAGCCGGAUACCAAUAACUAGUUACCAAAUUUUAAUUAACUCGAAAUAGUUGGAAAGCUAUAUCCCAGAAGGUGAAAAUCCUGUAGAGGUAAGUUAAAAUCUAGGGUAUCCUCAAGUACGGCGAGACACGAGAAAUCUUGUUGGAAGAUAGGAGGACCAUCUCCUAAGGCUAAAUACUCCUUGGUGACCGAUAGUGAACUAGUACCGUGAGGGAAAGGUGAAAAGAACCCCGGAAGGGGAGUGAAAUAGAUCCUGAAACUGUGUGCUUACAAGUAGUCAAAGCUCGUUUAAGAGUGAUGGCGUGCCUUUUGCAGAAUGAACCGGCGAGUUAUGAUAUAGAGCAAGGUUAAGUUUGAAGGAACGUAGCCGUAGCGAAAGCGAGUCUGAAUAGGGCGUUUAGUUGUAUGUCAUAGACCCGAAACUGAAGUGAGCUAGCCAUGAACAGGCUGAAGUGACGUGACCACGUCAUGGAGGGCCGAACCAGGACACGUUGAAAAGUGUUUGGAUGAUUUGUGGCUAGAGGUGAAAUUCCAAUCGAACUCAGAGAUAGCUGGUUCUCCCCGAAAUAGCUUUAGGGCUAGCGUUGGGUAUUUAAUAGUUCUUGAAGGUAGAGCACUAAAUGAGUGCGGGCUCCACCUCGGGGUACCAAUCUCAAUUAAACUCCGAAUGUCAAGAACCGUAUCCCAGCAGUCAGACGAUGGGUGAUAAGGUCCAUGGUCAAAAGGGAAAGAGCCCAGACCGUCAGCUAAGGUCCCUAAAUUAAUGUUAAGUGGUUAAGGAAGUAAAAACGUUAAAACAAUUAGGAAGUUGGCUUAGAAGCAGCCAUCUUUUAAAGAGUGCGUAAUAGCUCACUAAUCUAAUAUUUUUGCACCGAAAAUGUAACGGGGCUAAACAUUAUACCGAAGCUACGGAUAUGUUCCGGCUAGUAAUAGCUAAGGAACAUGUGGUAGGGGAAGCGUUCUAACAUCGUAGAAGCUAUAGCGGAAGCAGUAGUGGAGAGGUUAGAAGUGAGAAUGCCGGUGUAAGUAACGAAAAGAUAGAUGAGAAUUCUAUCCGUCGAAAACCCAAGGUUUCCAGGGGCAGGGUCGUCCGCCCUGGGUUAGUCAGGAACUAAGGCGAGGCAGCAAUGCGUAGUCGAUGACCAGCAGGCUAAAAUUCCUGCACUAAAAAAAUCACUGAUGGAGGGACAAAAGAGGAUAAGCACGCCCUUUAUUGGAUUAGGGUCGAAAAAUCGAGUUUGAGAAGAUAGGCAAAUCCGUCUUCUUACUUGCCAAAAAAUGAGAUUUGAGGGUAACGUGACUGUGUUCAUAUUUUCUAGAAAAGCUUCUAGGGUUAAUGAUUUUUUUACCUGUACCGUAAACCGACACAGGUGGGAAGGUAGAGUAUACUAAGACGCGCGAGAAAACUCUUGUUAAGGAACUCGGCAAAAUGACUCCGUAACUUCGGGAUAAGGAGAGCUUUUAUGAUAAAAAGUAAAAGCCGCAGAGAAUAGGCCCAAGCGACUGUUUAUCAAAAACACAGGUCUCUGCUAAACCGUAAGGUGAUGUAUAGGGGCUGAUGCCUGCCCGGUGCUGGAAGAUUAAGAGGAGAUGUUCGGGCUUGCCCAAAGCAUUGAAUUGAAGUCCCAGUGAACGGCGGCCGUAACUAUAACGGUCCUAAGGUAGCGAAAUUCCUUGUCGGGUAAAUUCCGACCUGCACGAAAGGCAUAACGAUUUGGGCGCUGUCUCAACAAGAGUCUCGGUGAAAUCAAAUUACCGGUGAAAAUGCCGGUUACCCGCGACAGGACGAAAAGACCCCAUGGAGCUUUACUGUAGCUUAAUAUUGGAAUUGGAAAUCUCAUGUACAGGAUAGGUGGGAGACAGAGAACUUUAGACGCUAGUUUAAAGGGAGUCACCGGUGGGAUACCACUCUUGAGAUUUUUAGUUUCUAACCUGCAUAAGUGGAUUAUGAGGGACAGUGUUUGGUGGGCAGUUUGACUGGGGCGGUCGCCUCCUAAAAAGUAACGGAGGCGUUCAAAGGUUCCCUCAAAAUGGUCAGAAAUCAUUUUUAGAGCGUAAAGGUAUAAGGGAGCUUGACUGUGAGACCUACAAGUCGAGCAGGGACGAAAGUCGGACUUAGUGAUCUUGCGGUACCGAAUGGAAGGGCCGUGACUCAACGGAUAAAAGCUACCCUGGGGAUAACAGCCUUAUCGCCCCCGAGCGUUCACAGCGACGGGGCGGUUUGGGACCUCGAUGUCGGCUCAUCGCAUCCUGGAGCUGGAGCAGGUUCCAAGGGUUGGGCUGUUCGCCCAUUAAAGCGGUACGCGAGCUGGGUUCAGAACGUCGUGAGACAGUUCGGUCUCUAUCCGUCGUGGGCGUUGGAAAUUUGCGAGGAACUGUCCCUAGUAUGAGAAGACCGGGAUGGAUAUACCGCUGGUGCACCAGUUGGUUCGCCAGAGCCAUAGCUGGGUAGCUAUGUAUAGUAUGGAUAAACACUGAAAGCAUCUAAGUGUGAAGCCUCCCUCAAGAUGAGAUUUCCCUAAGAGAUCCCUGAAAGACGAUCAGGUUGAUAGGCUAGAAGUGGAAGAGUAGUGAUAUUUGGAGCUGACUAGUACUAAUAGAUCCAACGACUUUGAUGA